RNA transcript from Coffea arabica (coffee), 1340 nucleotides. RefSeq lists it as uncharacterized. Lineage: Eukaryota; Viridiplantae; Streptophyta; Magnoliopsida; Gentianales; Rubiaceae. The record is from RefSeq and is a predicted model, not a curated record.
GUACAUUAUUAGGAGGCAAACUGAGAGAUAGAGUCUUCGAGGAGGGACGGUUUCGUUUUGGGUUCUUUGUAUUCAUCUUGGCUUCGUCUUCCUUUGUUGCUUCCCCCCUUCAUCGUCAUCAUUUUCUUCUUCUUCCCUUAUCUCUUUUUCCUGACCUAUUACAUCAGCUAUUAUCUUUCCAUCCGUUUCUCUGUUAUAAUACUUGUUUUUUCUUUUCGUUUUCUUUUUUAUCUUUGGCUUUUGCAUUUCUUGCUCCCUUUUCUUUCCCUCUCAACUUUCUGUUGGUUUCUCGGCAAUACUUAUCGCCCUCCCCUGGCUGUGUUUUUUCUUUCUUUUUUUCAUUUUUUUUGCCCCUUUAUCUGACGGUGGUUUUGCUUUAUAUAAGAAGGUCUCCCUCCCUCACUCUUGGACCUGCAACCCGAUACACACUGAAAUUAAAUAGUAUCUAUAUAGCGUGCACAUAUAUUCCGUCACAGAAUAUCUAUAUAGCGUACACAUACUCCUCCGCGCUUACGACAGAAGGAUGGACAAAAGAAAGCAAUCUGGUUCUUCUUCUUCAUUCACUUCUGAUCUUUUUGGGUCCAAGGAGUCCUCUGCUUCAUCCUCUUCAUGGAUAUUUGAGUCCAUCUUGGCGCCGUCCCCAAAGGGUUUGGGACGGCAGCCUCCGCGCCCGGAGUUUCUUGAAAAGAAGCAAGACCCUGCUAGUCAGCCCUGCAGUACCAAAGCUCGCCCUUCAGAAAGUAUUCCCCCAGUCAGCGGAGGCCAUAAUGUUGGCAUUUUAAACAAGGAGGCGAGCUCAUUUUAUCAGGAAGAAAAGAUGCAACCAUGUCAUCUCAGCUCGUCCAUAUACUAUGGGGGUCGAGAAGUGUAUUCUUACCCUCAGGAUACCCAGACCCAGAGCUCCAAUACUUUUGGUAAAGAUGGUGGAGAAGAUGACUCUGGCUCUGCAUCAAGAGGCAAUUGGUGGCAGGGAUCUCUGUACUACUAGCAAGCUCACCGCCAAGGGACUGUGGACUCGUAAGUCUCGUAUAUAAUUAAGCAAGCUAGGGCGCAGGAAGCUGGAGGUUAUUAGGAUAGGUAGAAGAUCUUAGCUAAGGGCCAGUUACUCAGUUGCUCCCAUGGCAGUAGAAAUCAGAAUUAUCAACUGUAAUAGUAGUCAGUAUAGUGGCAGUGGUUAUAGAACUUUUUAUCUUUUAUCAUAAAUAGUCAGUGUAUGUGCUAAAGACUUAAGUGAUGCUGGUUAGCAGGAUCACUUUACUUUCUAUGAGCUUACUUUUCAGGGCUGAUUACCAUUACAUCUUUCUAUAAAAAUGGCCGUGAUUCCCUUUGUGUGAGUUUAA